UAUACCCGGUCAAGUGUGCGACGACCCUUAUUCUCAUUUAUGCCUACUAAGGAAAAAUUUUGUCUAAAACAAGAUAAUAAGAGGAAUAAGAAAAUCUUACCCCUUUACCGUCAUAUAACA
Long non-coding RNA from Aricia agestis (brown argus), 120 nucleotides. RefSeq lists it as uncharacterized. The record is from RefSeq and is a predicted model, not a curated record. Lineage: Eukaryota; Metazoa; Arthropoda; Insecta; Lepidoptera; Lycaenidae. The transcript is spliced from 2 exons.